UUGCAGACGACUUGAAUGGGAACGGGGUACUGUAAGCGGUAGAGUAGCCUUGUUGCUACGAUCCGCUGAGGUUAAGCCCCUGUUCUAAAGAUUUGU
This 96-nucleotide ribosomal RNA is filed under the name Tricholoma matsutake. RNAcentral describes it as "partial 25S ribosomal RNA". It matches the Rfam family "Eukaryotic large subunit ribosomal RNA", at positions 3305 to 3401 of the family's 3401-position model. Lineage: Eukaryota; Fungi; Basidiomycota; Agaricomycetes; Agaricales; Tricholomataceae. The record is from RNAcentral.